CGUGCCGUGUGCAGCCAUUGGAGGGGGUUUCCUGCACGCGUGAUUGAGGUGGAGGUCACAGUUGGAAACACCAUCCAUCACGCUCCACAAACCCCACCUUCUCCUGCUGCCACCCUUUCAUCUUUCAGCCAUUGGAUCAACAUGUCACAUCUUUUUUUCAUUCAAAGGGUAAACUCGGUUAAUGUUUUCUUUCAAAAUUCUAACCCUUUAAUAUUGAGCCUGAUUCAGGAUCUACUAUUAAACAUCAUUUAAUCCUCAACAAACAUCUCCUGGACCUCCUGGUUUCAUUAAACAUUCACUGUUUGAGGGCAUGAGGAGACAAGAAUUGCCAAAUGGCAACAGCAGAAGGAGCCUGCGUCUGCACCACCGCUCUAAGCCUUACUUCACAAAACCGCCCAAAGAUGACAGGAGAAAGAGGGAGAAAGAAGAUUAUUCAAGCGGGAGGAAAAUCCCACACAGAUACAUUAAGAAUAGCAUGGCAUUAAGGGACUGCAGCAGAGGAAAAUGUGCCCCAAGUAGGCGCUGGUGCUCAACAGUGGUGGAGACAGGUGUUUUCCAUCUCGGUGAUUGAGUCCUGGAGUACUUAAGCAGGAAGCAGCCAGCAUCUCGUCGCUCGAGUAUUAGCCUCUGUGUGAACUGAACCGGCGACUACCUGGAGGUUAUCCAGGCUGGCCUCGGUGGCUUCGUUCAAACACUAAUUACGUUUUCAAGGACCUUCCAAGGAUUAUACUCCAGGAUUAUCAAACUUGUACCCGUUUCACUUGAGCGUGAUUCUGCAUGUGGGUCAGAGCCAUACGUAACACUAUGACAUCCCUGAAUUUAGUGGCAAUGAGUGAGUUUUAUUGACGCUCUCAUAUGACGAGACUUGACUCAUAAUUUGCAGGUGAGUAGUACUGUUUAGAUUACAGCAAAUCAGUGCACCUGAGCACAUCCGCCAUCUCACCUUGUAUUCACCCCUAACGCUCAACUGGACACAGAAAACAUCGAGUUGUGGCUUUUAGAUUUAUUAAAGUGCAGCUCCUAUUAUGUGCAGCGUGACUGAAAUUCUGCUGAUGACGGAGAAUAGAUGGCACCACUUUAUGUGUUAUGAAAAAGUAGGACACAGUCCAUUGCAGAGGGAUAACAUUUGCAGCAUGGCAUUUUCUCUUGUAGUCACUUUAAGUCCAGUUUGAUUUUGUAAAAUAAAAAACAUCUGAUAGUGUAA
This is a long non-coding RNA of Girardinichthys multiradiatus, 1204 nucleotides long. RefSeq lists it as uncharacterized. The transcript has 4 exons. NCBI's taxonomy places the organism in Eukaryota, Metazoa, Chordata, Actinopteri, Cyprinodontiformes, Goodeidae. The record is from RefSeq and is a predicted model, not a curated record.